GACGAACGCUGGCGGCGUGCCUAAUACAUGCAAGUCGAACGAACUCUGGUAUUGAUUGGUGCUUGCAUCAUGAUUUACAUUUGAGUGAGUGGCGAACUGGUGAGUAACACGUGGGAAACCUGCCCAGAAGCGGGGGAUAACACCUGGAAACAGAUGCUAAUACCGCAUAACAACUUGGACCGCAUGGUCCGAGUUUGAAAGAUGGCUUCGGCUAUCACUUUUGGAUGGUCCCGCGGCGUAUUAGCUAGAUGGUGAGGUAACGGCUCACCAUGGCAAUGAUACGUAGCCGACCUGAGAGGGUAAUCGGCCACAUUGGGACUGAGACACGGCCCAAACUCCUACGGGAGGCAGCAGUAGGGAAUCUUCCACAAUGGACGAAAGUCUGAUGGAGCAACGCCGCGUGAGUGAAGAAGGGUUUCGGCUCGUAAAACUCUGUUGUUAAAGAAGAACAUAUCUGAGAGUAACUGUUCAGGUAUUGACGGUAUUUAACCAGAAAGCCACGGCUAACUACGUGCCAGCAGCCGCGGUAAUACGUAGGUGGCAAGCGUUGUCCGGAUUUAUUGGGCGUAAAGCGAGCGCAGGCGGUUUUUUAAGUCUGAUGUGAAAGCCUUCGGCUCAACCGAAGAAGUGCAUCGGAAACUGGGGAACUUGAGUGCAGAAGAGGACAGUGGAACUCCAUGUGUAGCGGUGAAAUGCGUAGAUAUAUGGAAGAACACCAGUGGCGAAGGCGGCUGUCUGGUCUGUAACUGACGCUGAGGCUCGAAAGUAUGGGUAGCAAACAGGAUUAGAUACCCUGGUAGUCCAUACCGUAAACGAUGAAUGCUAAGUGUUGGAGGGUUUCCGCCCUUCAGUGCUGCAGCUAACGCAUUAAGCAUUCCGCCUGGGGAGUACGGCCGCAAGGCUGAAACUCAAAGGAAUUGACGGGGGCCCGCACAAGCGGUGGAGCAUGUGGUUUAAUUCGAAGCUACGCGAAGAACCUUACCAGGUCUUGACAUACUAUGCAAAUCUAAGAGAUUAGACGUUCCCUUCGGGGACAUGGAUACAGGUGGUGCAUGGUUGCCGUCAGCUCGUGUCGUGAGAUGUUGGGUUAAGUCCCGCAACGAGCGCAACCCUUAUUAUCAGUUGCCAGCAUUAAGUUGGGCACUCUGGUGAGACUGCCGGUGACAAACCGGAGGAAGGUGGGGAUGACGUCAAAUCAUCAUGCCCCUUAUGACCUGGGCUACACACGUGCUACAAUGGAUGGUACAACGAGUUGCGAACUCGCGAGAGUAAGCUAAUCUCUUAAAGCCAUUCUCAGUUCGGAUUGUAGGCUGCAACUCGCCUACAUGAAGUCGGAAUCGCUAGUAAUCGCGGAUCAGCAUGCCGCGGUGAAUACGUUCCCGGGCCUUGUACACACCGCCCGUCACACCAUGAGAGUUUGUAACACCCAAAGUCGGUGGGGUAACCUUUUAGGAACCAGCCGCCUAAGGUGGGACAGAUGAUUAGGGUG
This 1489-nucleotide ribosomal RNA is filed under the name Lactiplantibacillus pentosus. RNAcentral's name for it is "bacterial SSU rRNA". It matches the Rfam family "Bacterial small subunit ribosomal RNA". The record is from RNAcentral. Lineage: Bacteria; Bacillati; Bacillota; Bacilli; Lactobacillales; Lactobacillaceae.